AACGAACGCUGGCGGCAUGCCUAACACAUGCAAGUCGAACGAGACCUUCGGGUCUAGUGGCGCACGGGUGCGUAACGCGUGGGAACCUGCCCUUAGGUUCGGAAUAACUCCCCGAAAGGGGUGCUAAUACCGGAUAAUGUCCUCGGACCAAAGAUUUAUCGCCUUUGGAUGGGCCCGCGUUGGAUUAGCUAGUUGGUAGGGUAAAAGCCUACCAAGGCGACGAUCCAUAGCUGGUCUGAGAGGAUGAUCAGCCACACUGGGACUGAGACACGGCCCAGACUCCUACGGGAGGCAGCAGUGGGGAAUAUUGGACAAUGGGCGAAAGCCUGAUCCAGCAAGGCCGCGUGAGGGAUGAAGGCCUUAGGGUUGUAAAGCUCUUUUACCCGGGAGGAUAAUGACAGUACCGGGAGAAUAAGCCCCGGCUAACUCCGUG
This 433-nucleotide ribosomal RNA is filed under the name uncultured bacterium. Its description in RNAcentral is "partial 16S ribosomal RNA". It matches the Rfam family "Bacterial small subunit ribosomal RNA", at positions 29 to 507 of the family's 1533-position model. The record is from RNAcentral.